RNAcentral lists this ribosomal RNA (1504 nucleotides) under metagenome. RNAcentral's name for it is "bacterial LSU rRNA". It matches the Rfam family "Bacterial large subunit ribosomal RNA", at positions 467 to 1977 of the family's 2925-position model. The record is from RNAcentral.
UAAAUACUCCCGAGAGACCGAUAGCGAACCAGUACCGUGAGGGAAAGGUGAAAAGAACCCCGAGCAGGGGAGUGAAAUAGACCCUGAACCCGUCUGCCUACAAGCGGUCGGAGCGUCGUAAUGACGUGACGGCGUGCCUUUUGCAUAAUGAACCUACGAGUUACCUUCCCCGGCAAGGUUAAGUACCUAAGGUACGGAGCCGAAGCGAAAGCGAGUCUGAACAGGGCGCCAAGUCGGGGGGGGUAGACGCGAAACCGAGUGAUCUACCCUUGGCCAGGUUGAAGGUUGGGUAACACCAACUGGAGGACCGGAUGGGUAAGCGUUGAAAAGCUUUCCAAUGAGCUGAGGGUAGGGGUGAAAGGCUAAUCAAACUCGGAGAUAGCUCGUACUCCCCGAAAUGCAUUUAGGUGCAGCCUCUUUAUAGUAUAUCGUGAGGUAGAGCGACUGAUUGGAUGCGAGGGCUUCACCGCCUAUCAAGUCCAGAUAAACUCCGAAUGCGCGAUAUAUAUUUACAGGGAGUGAGGGCGCGGGUGCUAAGGUCCGUGUCCGAGAGGAGAAGAAUCCAGACCACCGGCUAAGGCCCCCAAAUGAUCGUUAAGUUGAACUAACGAGGUCGGAUCGCAGAGACAGCUAGGAUGUUGGCUUGGAAGCAGCCAUUCAUUUAAAGAGUGCGUAACAGCUCACUAGUCGAGCGAUCUGGCGUGGAUAAUAAUCGGGCAUAAACGAUCUGCCGAAGCCGUGGAUGUCGCAAGACAUGGUAGGGGAGCAUUCCAUGCCGCGUCGAAGAUGAGGGGUGACCCUUGUUGGAGCGCAUGGAAAAGCAAAUGUAGGUAUGAGUAACGAUAAGGGGGGCGAGAAACCCCCCCGCCGAAAGACCAAGGUUUCCUGAUCAACGCUAAUCGGAUCAGGGUGAGUCGGGACCUAAGGCAAAGCCGAACGGCGCCGCCGAUGGAAGAAUGGGUUAAUAUUCCCAUACUGCCUCAUGGAGUGACGUGGAGACGGAGAAGUGACAGUCCUGCCGGCUGACGGAAUAGCCGGUUGAAGGGUGUAGAUAUUGAUUCCCGUAGGCAAAUCCGCGGGGAGAGUCGAACCUGAGAGUAUACGGAGCGCUUGCGCAACGUAAUAUGGACGUAACCAUGCUCCCGAGAAAAUCCGCUAAACUUAUCCAUGCGGCACCCGUACCGUAAACGGACACACGUGGUCGGGUUGAGAAUACUGAGGCGCUCGAGUGAUUCACGGUUAAGGAACUAGGCAAAUUGACCCUGUAACUUCGGGAUAAAGGGUCCUCGUCGUAAGGCGAGGCGCAGAGAAUAGGUCCAGGCAACUGUUUAACAAAAACACAUGGCUGUGCUAAAUGGAAACAUGAUGUAUACAGCCUGACACCUGCCCGGUGCCGGAAGGUUAAGAGGAGAUGUCAUCCGCGAGGAGAAGCGUUGAAUUGAAGCCCCGGUAAACGGCGGCCGUAACUAUAACGGUCCUAAGGUAGCGAAAUUCCUUGUCGGGU